UGGAAACAAGGUCCUCGCCGUCGAAAACCCCCAAGCCAAGCUCCCCCGUCAUUUUUCCUUCACCGGCAGCAUUGUAUAGCCUCGCCAGAGCCAAAAAAUUUCAGCCUCGAUUCGGUGGCUUCCGGCAAGUUUCUGAUAAUUUGUUCGUCCAGCCAGCUCCAACCGAGGUGUAGGAGCAGACUGCAAAGCGCGGUAGAACUGAUGAAGCGGCAAUAGAACAUGCCACUUGAUGGGUUGCAUCAGAACUACGUAUACACUGGUAUUAAAUAGAGACAUGUAGUAAAAGAAUUUUUUUUUUAGAAUUUGCCCUAAUAGUACAACUCUUUGGGCUAUGAGAAUUUGAUCGCCGGAGGAAAGGUCCCUAGUCGAGCGUCGCUCUCUAAAUGCUAGUGUUAUUGAGAAUUAAGUGGUCAUGCUGGAUAUAAAGACCCUGGUUGAGUUUUGUUCUCUAGGCGCCAGUCUUAUUGUUAUAAGAGAGCCGAAUGACUAAUAAGAUUGGAUUUUAAGAUUCUACUGGGGUACUUGUCUUAUAAACAUUUAAAUUGUAUUUUUUUGAAUCACGGCAUAUGACACAUGUUUUGAUAUAGUAUGAUAUUUUAUUCUGAUUAAAUAUAUAUUUUAUUGA
This is a long non-coding RNA of Ricinus communis (castor bean), 625 nucleotides long. RefSeq lists it as uncharacterized. The transcript has 3 exons. The record is from RefSeq and is a predicted model, not a curated record. NCBI's taxonomy places the organism in Eukaryota, Viridiplantae, Streptophyta, Magnoliopsida, Malpighiales, Euphorbiaceae.